RNAcentral lists this transfer RNA (82 nucleotides) under Chelydra serpentina (North American snapping turtle). Its description in RNAcentral is "tRNA-Ser". It matches the Rfam family "tRNA". Rfam says of the family: Transfer RNA (tRNA) molecules are approximately 80 nucleotides in length. Their secondary structure includes four short double-helical elements and three loops (D, anti-codon, and T loops). Lineage: Eukaryota; Metazoa; Chordata; Testudines; Chelydridae. The record is from RNAcentral.
GUAGUUGUGGCCGAGCGGUUAAGGCGAUGGACUAGAAAUCCAUUGGGGUUUCCCUGCACAGGUUCAAAUCCUGUCAACUAUG